ACUCCUACGGGAGGCAGCAGUAGGGAAUCUUCCACAAUGGACGCAAGUCUGAUGGAGCAACGCCGCGUGAGUGAAGAAGGGUUUCGGCUCGUAAAGCUCUGUUGUUAAAGAAGAACGUGGGUGAGAGUAACUGUUCACCCAGUGACGGUAUUUAACCAGAAAGCCACGGCUAAC
This 174-nucleotide ribosomal RNA is filed under the name uncultured bacterium. Its description in RNAcentral is "partial 16S ribosomal RNA". It matches the Rfam family "Bacterial small subunit ribosomal RNA", at positions 335 to 501 of the family's 1533-position model. The record is from RNAcentral.